GGCACAACAAUUCAUUGGGAGGGGUUUUCUACUGGCGUCAUUUGAAAAUAUAUAUUCCUGUAGCUAACAAUGAACAACUGGGAAUUUCUCCUCGUCGCACAAAGCCAUGGAAAUGUUUGUGGAUAACUUUUAUAACUGUACUCUGAGUCUGCAAUAUUCUAUAUCCCAUGGCCACAACCUUCCGAAUGUGACUCUGCAACAAGAAAAUUUGGCAGAACGUCCAAGUGGACUCACGAUCGCAGACCACAUGUAAUCAUGCCAGCCCAGACCUCCACAUCUCGUCUGAGACCAGCCACCCGGACAACUGAUUGGCUGGGCCUGAUUCCCCAGUGGGUGGGCCUGACUCCCCAGCUGCUCCAAUGUCAAAAGUGUCGGUCCUUAUAGAAUGCAGCAGCCAUUAUACAGAGCAUAGGGGAGUGCUGGCAUUCUGGUUGGUGGCGACGUCGGGUCCGGGGACCGCCACCGAUGGAACCGGGGGUGCCUAAGCCAGCUCGCCUGGCUGUCACGCCCUAGCUGGCUCGAGAGGUUCUUGCCCAGGUUGGCUCGGAAGGCGCCUGUCAUACGUCGGGCCUAAGCCGGAUUGUCAGGUGUCUACGCCCAGCCGGCGCAUCAAGCUGCUACGCCUCCGCUGGAUCAUCGGGCUCCCACACCUCAGUGGGAUCAACAGGCUGUCAUGCCUCAGCCGGAGCGUCAGGCUCCCACGCCUCUGCCGGUUCGUCGGGAUUUUACGCCCAGCGCCCGUGCCUCGGCCGGCCAGUCUGGCUCGCCCAGGUCGGAUGCCGGGUGGUGCCCCUGGGGGGACGGGGGGUUUGGGAGGCUACUGUCUCGCCUACUCCUGCUCUCCCAGCAUUAUGCACUCCUGCCACCAUCAGUACGCACACCUGAAUUCCCCGUCACGCGCAUCAGCGUAUUAUUGGACUCACCUGGACUCAAUCCCCUGUUUAUUACCUCUCCUAUAUUUGUCAGUUCCCCAGCUUCGUUCCCCACUGCUGAAUUAAUGUUCGUAUGUCAUUGUUACCCAUGUGCUGACGCUGUUCCUGGCAUGCUAUCUGUCUGUUCCGCAUUAAAUGUUCAACUCCCUGUACCUGC
Molecule: long non-coding RNA, 1089 nt
Filed under: Salmo salar (Atlantic salmon)
Lineage: Eukaryota; Metazoa; Chordata; Actinopteri; Salmoniformes; Salmonidae
Description: lncRNA (ENSSSAG00000083595.1, ENSSSAG00000105469.1)
Source: RNAcentral